RNAcentral lists this ribosomal RNA (253 nucleotides) under uncultured bacterium. Its description in RNAcentral is "partial 16S ribosomal RNA". It matches the Rfam family "Bacterial small subunit ribosomal RNA", at positions 524 to 776 of the family's 1533-position model. The record is from RNAcentral.
UACGUAGGGUGCGAGCGUUGUCCGGAAUUAUUGGGCGUAAAGAGCUCGUAGGCGGCUUGUCGCGUCGGAUGUGAAAGCCCGGGGCUUAACUCCGGGUCUGCAUUCGAUACGGGCAGGCUAGAGUUCGGUAGGGGAGAUCGGAAUUCCUGGUGUAGCGGUGAAAUGCGCAGAUAUCAGGAGGAACACCGGUGGCGAAGGCGGUUCUCUGGGCAUUACCUGACGCUGAGGAGCGAAAGUGUGGGGAGCGAACAGG